UACAGAGGGUGCAAGCGUUGCUCGGAAUCAUUGGGCGUAAAGGGCAAGUAGGUGGUCUCAUUUGUCUAGGGUGAAAUCCUUGAGCUUAACUCAAGAAGUGCCCUAGAAACGGUGGGACUAGAGUUCUGGAGAGGGUCGUGGAAUUCCCGGUGUAGCGGUGAAAUGCGUAGAGAUCGGGAGGAACACCAGAGGCGAAGGCGGCGACCUGGGCUAACACUGACGCUCAUGCACGAAAGCGUGGGGAGCAAACAGG
Molecule: ribosomal RNA, 253 nt
Filed under: uncultured prokaryote
Description: partial 16S ribosomal RNA
Rfam family: Bacterial small subunit ribosomal RNA
Source: RNAcentral